This 301-nucleotide ribosomal RNA is filed under the name uncultured bacterium. RNAcentral's name for it is "partial 16S ribosomal RNA". It matches the Rfam family "Bacterial small subunit ribosomal RNA", at positions 509 to 809 of the family's 1533-position model. The record is from RNAcentral.
CAGUAGCCACGGGAAUACGAAGGGUGCAAGCGUUACUCGGAAUUACUGGGCGUAAAGCGUGCGUAGGUGGUGGUUUAAGUCCGUUGUGAAAGCCCUGGGCUCAACCUGGGAAUUGCAGUGGAUACUGGGUCACUAGAGUGUGGUAGAGGAUAGUGGAAUUUCCGGUGUAGCAGUGAAAUGCGUAGAGAUCGGAAGGAACGUCUGUGGCGAAGGCGACUAUCUGGGCCAACACUGACACUGAGGCACGAAAGCGUGGAGAGCAAACAGGAUUAGAUACCCCCGUAGUCCCUGUCUCUUAUAA